This 191-nucleotide transfer-messenger RNA is filed under the name Rickettsia rhipicephali str. 3-7-female6-CWPP. RNAcentral's name for it is "transfer-messenger RNA Ricke_rhipi_37fema". It matches the Rfam family "Alphaproteobacteria transfer-messenger RNA", at positions 148 to 355 of the family's 355-position model. From Rfam's summary of the family: Bacterial tmRNA, also known as 10Sa RNA or SsrA, is named for its dual tRNA and mRNA-like properties. Its role is to liberate the mRNA from a stalled ribosome. The record is from RNAcentral. Lineage: Bacteria; Pseudomonadati; Pseudomonadota; Alphaproteobacteria; Rickettsiales; Rickettsiaceae.
GGGGGCGAAAUAGGAUCGACGUGCCUAAUAAAAAGAUUGCUUUUACUCGGGAUGAUUCCGCCGAUGGCUUUUGCCAUAUGGGUCAAAACAAAGAAACGCAAACGAUAAUAAUCGUUCUGUAGGUCGUUUAGCUUUAGCAGCUUAACCCUACGCGGCUGGAGGGUGUGCCGGGCAACAGAAAAACCCUCGCU